RNAcentral lists this ribosomal RNA (253 nucleotides) under uncultured bacterium. Its description in RNAcentral is "partial 16S ribosomal RNA". It matches the Rfam family "Bacterial small subunit ribosomal RNA", at positions 524 to 776 of the family's 1533-position model. The record is from RNAcentral.
UACGUAGGGUGCAAGCGUUGUCCGGAAUUAUUGGGCGUAAAGAGCUCGUAGGCGGUCUGUCGCGUCGGCUGUGAAAACCCGAGGCUCAACCUCGGGCCUGCAGUCGAUACGGGCAAACUAGAGUACUGCAGGGGAGACUGGAAUUCCUGGUGUAGCGGUGAGAUGCGCAGAUAUCAGGAGGAACACCGGUGGCGAAGGCGGGUCUCUGGGCAGUAACUGACGCUGAGGAGCGAAAGCGUGGGGAGCGAACAGG